AUUGAACGCUAGCGGGAUGCUUUACACAUGCAAGUCGAACGGCAGCGCGGACUUCGGUCUGGCGGCGCGUGUCGAACGGGUGAGUAAUGUAUCGGAACGUGCCCAGUAGCGGGGGAUAACUACGCGAAAGCGUAGCUAAUACCCCCUACGCCCUACGGGGGAAAGCAUGGGAUCGUAAGACCUUGCACUAUUGGAGCGGCCUAUAUCGGUUUAGCUAGUUGGUGAGGUAACGGCUCACCAAGGCGACGAUCCGGAGAUGGUUUGAGAGGACGACCAGCCACACUGGGACUGAGACACGGCCCAGACUACUACGGGAGGCAGCAGUAGGGAAUUUUGGACAAGGGAGGCAACCAUGAUCCAGCAAUCCAGCGGGUGCGAUGAAGGCCCUCGGGUUGUAAAGCACUUUUGGCAGGAAAGAAACGUCGCGGGCUAAUACCCCGAGGAACUGACGGUACCUGCAUAAUAAGCACCGGCUAACUACGUG
Molecule: ribosomal RNA, 484 nt
Filed under: uncultured bacterium
Lineage: Bacteria
Description: partial 16S ribosomal RNA
Rfam family: Bacterial small subunit ribosomal RNA
Source: RNAcentral